Long non-coding RNA from Oncorhynchus keta (chum salmon), 4198 nucleotides. RefSeq lists it as uncharacterized. Lineage: Eukaryota; Metazoa; Chordata; Actinopteri; Salmoniformes; Salmonidae. The record is from RefSeq and is a predicted model, not a curated record. The transcript has 5 exons.
GAGAGAGAGAGGGGUAGAGAUUUGGGCUGUAAAGGUUAAAUACUUCCGUCCAAUAACAAAGGAGGAGGAGGAGACAUACUGAGCUGAAGAGAGAUUCAAGAGAGAGAAUAGAAUGAACCCAUUAAAGCUCUGUUGCCUUCAAUCCUUUCUCUAAUGGACCACACACACACCGCACCGAAUUUUCAACUGCCACUCGUCUGCCGUCCAUCUGCUGUUCGUUCGGUGCUGUGUGUUUAACACCGGAACCGCUGGGCCUCGAGGUGGCCCCCUUUGAGCUAAUGAGCAUUCUGACUGCAACAUCCUAAUAGUGUAAUUACUACGUUUCAUAUAUGCUAUUGCAAAAACAGCCAUUAGGUUUCGUUUAUGAAGGUCUUGCGUAACAUUAAUACCAGAACCUGUUCCCCUACAUUUUCUUCAAAUGACACAAAUAACACCAUAGCAGUUUAUGUUAGUGUAUGUUACUGUAGGGUAUACAACUAUGUGUUACAACUAUGUGUUGGAACAUGGUAAAAACUUAUUUUUAUUAUAACGUCAAAAUAAAACAAUAUAGCAAGACUUGCGAUCAAAUUAUGAAAUCAUUCAUAGCCUAAACAUCAUUAUAAGCGCCAAGUGUGCUUGAUAAAUAGUACAAAUCUGCACAAAAGCAAUAAUGGCAUUAUAAUGAAUAUAACUGCAGAUAUGACAGCAGUCAAAAAUAGUCAAUGAUUGUCUGCUUUUGGUAAAAUGUCACAUAAACAACGAAAGCUUGUGAGUGCGUUGCUGUUGUAGGGCCUGAUCUCUCAGUGAUGGCAUUUUGUUGUGCUCAUAAUCAACAAUACUGUAGCAUUGUCACCAGCUUGUUCUAUUCAAAUGGUGCCGUCCUUCCUCUCUCCUGUCUCACCAUUUAAUUCGGUGGUGGCGCGGGCACCUGCUCAGUGCGCACCGUUCUGGCUUUUAGAGCUUAGGCCUCGGAGGUUCAGACAGGAUCAGAAUCAGAAGAAUAAUCAUCAGAGGUGUCGACUCAUUUCGGUAUAGUUUUGGUUCAGUUGCUAGGAAACUAUAGGGGUGAUUAUAAACUGGGCACGUCACCUUCAACUGUCUGGAGAAGGAGGUGAGCAGGCCCUACUGUCGGGAGAAGGAGGUGAGCAGGCCCUACUGUCGGGAGAAGGAGGUGAGCAGGCCCUACUGUCGGGAGAAGGAGGUGAGCAGGCCCUACUGUCGGGAGAAGGAGGUGAAGAAGGCCCUACUGUCGGGAGAAGGAGGUGAGCAGGCCCUACUGUCGGGAGAAGGAGGUGAAGAAGGCCCUACUGUCGGGAGAAGGAGGUGAAGAAGGCCCUACUGUCGGGAGAAGGAGCUGAGCAGGCCCUACUGUCGGGAGAAGGAGCUGAGCAGGCCCUACUGUCGGGAGAAGGAGGUGAGCAGGCCCUACUGUCGGGAGAAGGAGGUGAAGAAGGCCCUACUGUCGGGAGAAGGAGUGCAGCAGGCCCUACUGUCGGGAGAAGGAGGUGAAGAAGGCCCUACUGUCGGGAGAAGGAGCUGAGCAGGCCCUACUGUCGGGAGAAGGAGGUGAGCAGGCCCUACUGUCGGGAGAAGGAGGUGAGCAGGCCCUACUGUCGGGAGAAGGAGGUGAGCAGGCCCUACUGUCGGGAGAAGGAGGUGAAGAAGGCCCUACUGUCGGGAGAAGGAGGUGAGCAGGCCCUACUGUCGGGAGAAGGAGGUGAGCAGGCCCUACUGUCGGGAGAAGGAGGUGAAGAAGGCCCUACUGUCGGGAGAAGGAGCUGAGCAGGCCCUAGUGUCGGGAGAAGGAGCUGAGCAGGCCCUACUGUCGGGAGAAGGCCCUACUGUCGGGAGAAGGAGCUGAGCAGGCCCUACUGUCGGGAAAAGGAGCUGAGCAGGCCCUACUGUCGGGAAAAGGAGCUGAGCAGGCCCUACUGUCGGGAGAAGGAGCUGAGCAGGCCCUACUGUCGGGAGAAGGAGCUGAGCAGGCCCUACUGUCGGGAGAAGGAGCUGAGCAGGCCCUACUGUCGGGAAAAGGAGCUGAGCAGGCCCUACUGUCGGGAAAAGGAGCUGAGCAGGCCCUACUGUCGGGAGAAGGAGCUGAGCAGGCCCUACUGUCGGGAAAAGGAGCUGAGCAGGCCCUACUGUCGGGAGAAGGAGCUGAGCAGGCCCUACUGUCGGGAGAAGGAGGUGAGCAGGCCCUACUGUCGGGAGAAGGAGGUGAAGAAGGCCCUACUGUCGGGAGAAGGAGGUGAGCAGGCCCUACUGUCGGGAGAAGGAGGUGAAGAAGGCCCUACUGUCGGGAGAAGGAGGUGAAGAAGGCCCUACUGUCGGGAGAAGGAGCUGAGCAGGCCCUACUGUCGGGAGAAGGAGGUGAAGAAGGCCCUACUGUCGGGAGAAGGAGCUGAGCAGGCCCUACUGUCGGGAAAAGGAGCUGAGCAGGCCCUACUGUCGGGAGAAGGAGGUGAGCAGGCCCUACUGUCGGGAGAAGGAGGUGAGCAGGCCCUACUGUCGGGAGAAGGAGGUGAGCAGGCCCUACUGUCGGGAGAAGGAGGUGAAGAAGGCCCUACUGUCGGGAGAAGGAGGUGAAGAAGGCCCUACUGUCGGGAGAAGGAGGUGAAGAAGGCCCUACUGUCGGGAGAAGGAGGUGAAGAAGGCCCUACUGUCGGGAGAAGGAGGUGAAGAAGGCCCUACUGUCGGGAGAAGGAGGUGAAGAAGGCCCUACUGUCGGGAGAAGGAGGUGAAGAAGGCCCUACUGUCGGGAGAAGGAGGUGAAGAAGGCCCUACUGUCGGGAGAAGGAGGUGAAGAAGGCCCUACUGUCGGGAGAAGGAGGUGAAGAAGGCCCUACUGUCGGGAGAAGGAGGUGAAGAAGGCCCUACUGUCGGGAGAAGGAGGUGAAGAAGGCCCUACUGUCGGGAGAAGGAGGUGAAGAAGGCCCUACUGUCGGGAGAAGGAGGUGAAGAAGGCCCUACUGUCGGGAGAAGGAGGUGAAGAAGGCCCUACUGUCGGGAGAAGGAGGUGAAGAAGGCCCUACUGUCGGGAGAAGGAGCAGCAAUGAGGGAAAACAAUACAAAAAAUGAUGUGCCCUCCUAAAACUGGUUCUGUUUUUGAUAUUAACAUUAUUACAACAACAGUGUGUUAUAUACACCGAGUGUACAAAAUGCUAGGAACACCACCUUCCUAACAUUGAGUUGCACCCUCUUUUGCCCUCAGAACAGCCUCAAUUCGUUGGGGCAUGGACUCUACAAGCUGUCGAAAGCGUACCCAUGUUGACUCCAAUGCUUCCCACAGUUGUGUCAAGUUGGCUGGAUGCCCUUUGAGUGGUGGACCUUUCUUUAUACACACAGGAAACUGUAGAGCGUGAAAAACCCAGCAGCGUUGUAGUUCUUGACACACUCAAAUCGGUGCGCCUGGCACCUACUACCAUACCUCGUUCAAAGGUAGUUAAAUAUUUUGUCUUGCUCAUUCACCCUCUGAAUGGCACACAUACACAAUCCAUGUCUCAAUUGUCUAAAGGCUUAAAAAUCCUUCUUUAACCUGUCUCAUCCCCUUCGUCUAAGGUGAUUGAAGGGGAUUUAACAAGUGUCACCAAUAAGGGCUCAUAGCUUUCACCUGCAUUCACCUGGUCAGUCUAUGUCGUGAAAAGAGCAGGUGUUCUUAAUGUUUUGUACACUCAGUGUAUACUUAUUUAGAAAAAGUAAAGGAUGGAGGGAAGGACAUAAUAAAUACCACAGUAAUAAUUCAUUCAUUAAUGAGCAGUCCAAAUGACAUGCUAUAGCGGUCUAGUGUUAAGGGCCCCCGACUGACUGACGUAAUUUUCGCACGAUUCUAAACGUGGAAUCGGUUUGCACUUGGUUUGCAAAUUACUUGCUACUAAGCUGGAGGCCCUGUGUCUCAACCCGGCCCUGUGCAAUUGGGUCCAGGACUUUCUGAUGGGUCGCCCCCAGGUGGUGAAGGUAGGAAACAACAUCUCCACUUCGCUGACCCUCAACACUGGGGCCACACAAGGGUGCAUGCUCAUCCCCCUCCUGUACUCCCUGUUCACUCACGACUGCGUGGCCAUGCAGACGACACAACAGUAGUGGGCUUGAUUACCAACAAUGACAAGACAGCCUACAGGGUGUAGAUGAGGGCACACAGAGUGUGGUGUCAGGAAAACAACCUCUCACUCAACGUCAACAAAACAAAGGAGAUGAUCGUGGACUUCACAGCAGAGGGAGC